Molecule: ribosomal RNA, 1345 nt
Filed under: unidentified marine bacterioplankton
Lineage: Bacteria
Description: bacterial SSU rRNA
Rfam family: Bacterial small subunit ribosomal RNA
Source: RNAcentral
UUAGAGUUUGAUCAUGGCUCAGAACGUACGCUGGCGGCACGCCUAACACAUGCAAGUCGAACGAAGUAGCAAUACUUAGUGGCAGACGGGUGAGUAACAUGUAGGUAUCUGCCCUUUGGCCUGGAAUAACACGAGGAAACUUGUGCUAAUACCGGAUAAGUCUUUACGGAGAAAGCUUUAUGCACCAUUGGAUGAGCCUGCACUUGAUUAGUUUGUUGGUGGGGUAAUGGCCUACCAAGACUGUGAUCAAUAGCUGAUUUGAGAGGAUGAUCAGCCACAUUGGGACUGAGACACGGCCCAAACUCCUACGGGAGGCAGCAGUGGGGAAUCUUGCACAAUGGAGGAAACUCUGAUGCAGCGAUGCCGCGUGAGUGAAGAAGGCCUUUGGGUUGUAAAGCUCUUUCGUCGGGGAAGAAAAUGACUGUACCCGAAUAAGAAGGUCCGGCUAACUUCGUGCCAGCAGCCGCGGUAAUACGAAGGGACCUAGCGUAGUUCGGAAUUACUGGGCUUAAAGAGUUCGUAGGUGGUUGAAAAAGUUGGUGGUGAAAUCCCAGAGCUUAACUCUGGAACUGCCAUCAAAACUUUUCAGCUAGAGUAUGAUUGAGGAAAGCAGAAUUUCUAGUGUAGAGGUGAAAUUCGUAGAUAUUAGAAAGAAUACCAAUUGCGAAGGCAGCUUUCUGGAUCAUUACUGACACUGAGGAACGAAAGCAUGGGUAGCGAAGAGGAUUAGAUACCCUCGUAGUCCAUGCCGUAAACGAUGUGUGUUAGACGUUGGAAAUUUAUUUUCAGUGUCGCAGCGAAAGCGAUAAACACACCGCCUGGGGAGUACGACCGCAAGGUUAAAACUCAAAUGAAUUGACGGGGACCCGCACAAGUAGUGGAGCAUGUGGUUUAAUUCGAAGAUACGCGCAGAACCUUACCAACACUUGACAUGUUCGUCGCGACUUUAAGAGAUUAGAGUUUUCGGUUCGGCCGGACGAAACACAGGUGCUGCAUGGCUGUCGUCAGCUCGUGUCGUGAGAUGUUGGGUUAAGUCCCGCAACGAGCGCAACCCUCACUUUUAGUUGCCAUCAUUUAGUUGGGCACUCUGAAAGAACUGCCAGUGAUAAGCUGGAGGAAGGUGGGGAUGACGUCAAGUCCUCAUGGCCCUUACGUGUUGGGCUACACACGUGCUACAAUGGUAUCUACAACAGGAAGCAAGACGGCGACGUUAAGCAAAUCCUUAAAAGAUACCUCAGUUCGGAUUGCACUCUGCAACUCGAGUGCAUGAAGCUGGAAUUACUAGUAAUCGUGGAUCAGCGUGCCACGGUGAAUGCGUUCCGCGGGUCUUGUACACACCGCCCGU